ACUUACGCUCAGAUUGAACGCUGGCGGCAGGCCUAACACAUGCAAGUCGAACGGUAACAGGAAGCAGCUUGCUGCUUUGCUGACGAGUGGCGGACGGGUGAGUAAUGUCUGGGAAACUGCCUGAUGGAGGGGGAUAACUACUGGAAACGGUAGCUAAUACCGCAUAACGUCGCAAGCACAAAGAGGGGGACCUUAGGGCCUCUUGCCAUCGGAUGUGCCCAGAUGGGAUUAGCUAGUAGGUGGGGUAACGGCUCACCUAGGCGACGAUCCCUAGCUGGUCUGAGAGGAUGACCAGCAACACUGGAACUGAGACACGGUCCAGACUCCUACGGGAGGCAGCAGUGGGGAAUAUUGCACAAUGGGCGCAAGCCUGAUGCAGCCAUGCAGCGUGUAUGAAGAAGGCCUUAGGGUUGUAAAGUACUUUCAGCGGGGAGGAAGGGAGUAAAGUUAAUACCUUUGCUCAUUGACGUUACCCCCAGAAGAAGCACCGGCUAACUCCGUGCCAGCAGCCGCGGUAAUACGGAGGGUGCAAGCGUUAAUCGGAAUUACUGGGCGUAAAGCGCACGCAGGCGGUUUGUUAAGUCAGAUGUGAAAUCCCCGGGCUCAACCUGGGAACUGCAUCUGAUACUGGCAAGCUUGAGUCUCGUAGAGGGGGGUAGAAUUCCAGGUGUAGCGGUGAAAUGCGUAGAGAUCUGGAGGAAUACCGGUGGCGAAGGCGGCCCCCUGGACGAAGACUGACGCUCAGGUGCGAAAGCGGGGGGGACAAACAGGAUUAGAUACCCUGGUAGUCCACGCCGUAAACGAUGUCGACUUGGAGGUUGUGCCCUUGAGGCGUGGCUUCCGGAAAUAACGCGUUAAGUCGACCGCCUGGGGAGUACGGCCGCAAGGUUAAAACUCAAAUGAAUUGACGGGGGCCGCACAAGCGGUGGAGCAUGUGGUUUAAUUCGAUGCAACGCGAAGAACCUUACCUGGUCUUGACAUCCACGGAAGUUCAGAGAUGAGAAUGUGCCUUCGGGAACCGUGAGACAGGUGCUGCAUGGCUGUCGUCAGCUCGUGUUGUGAAAUGUUGGGUUAAGUCCCGCAACGAGCGCAACCCUUAUCCUUUGUUGCCAGCGGUCGGCCGGGAAUCAAAGGAGACUGCCAGUGAUAAACUGGAGGAAGGUGGGGAUGACGUCAAGUCAUCAUGCCCUUACGACCAGGGCUACACACGUGCUACAAUGGCGCAUACAAAGAGAAGCGACCUCGCGAGAGCAAGCGGACCUCAUAAAGUGCGUCGUAGUCCGGAUUGGAGUCUGCAACUCGACUCCAUGAAGUCGGAAUCGCUAGUAAUCGUGGAUCAGAAUGCCACGGUGAAUACGUUCCCGGGCCUUGUACACACCGCCCGUCACACCAUGGGAGUGGGUUGCAAAAGAAGUAGGUACAUUCU
RNAcentral lists this ribosomal RNA (1426 nucleotides) under Escherichia coli. Its description in RNAcentral is "bacterial SSU rRNA". It matches the Rfam family "Bacterial small subunit ribosomal RNA". Lineage: Bacteria; Pseudomonadati; Pseudomonadota; Gammaproteobacteria; Enterobacterales; Enterobacteriaceae. The record is from RNAcentral.